Molecule: ribosomal RNA, 236 nt
Filed under: uncultured bacterium
Lineage: Bacteria
Description: partial 16S ribosomal RNA
Rfam family: Bacterial small subunit ribosomal RNA
Source: RNAcentral
AACACGUGGAUAAUCUACCCGACAAUCAGGGAUAACAUUUCGAAAGAAAUGCUAAUACCUGAUAAGCCUACGCCCUCCUCGGAGGAAGUAGGAAAAGGUGGGGACCUUCGGGCCUGCCGUUGUCGGAUGAGUCCGCGGCCCAUUAGCUAGUUGGUAGGGUAAUGGCCUACCAAGGCUACGAUGGGUAGCUGGUCUGAGAGGAUGAUCAGCCACACUGGAACUGAGACACGGUCCAG